Molecule: transfer RNA, 85 nt
Filed under: Caudoviricetes sp.
Lineage: Duplodnaviria; Heunggongvirae; Uroviricota; Caudoviricetes
Description: tRNA-Leu
Rfam family: tRNA
About the family: Transfer RNA (tRNA) molecules are approximately 80 nucleotides in length. Their secondary structure includes four short double-helical elements and three loops (D, anti-codon, and T loops).
Source: RNAcentral
CUGGGUAUGGUGAAAUAGGUAGACACCCAGGAUUUAGGUUCCUGUGGCUUAGGCCGUGUGGGUUCGAAUCCCAUUACCCAGACCA